Molecule: ribosomal RNA, 496 nt
Filed under: uncultured bacterium
Lineage: Bacteria
Description: partial 16S ribosomal RNA
Rfam family: Bacterial small subunit ribosomal RNA
Source: RNAcentral
GAUGAACGCUGGCGGCGUGCCUAAUACAUGCAAGUCGAGCGAACAGACGAGGAGCUUGCUCCUCUGACGUUAGCGGCGGACGGGUGAGUAACACGUGGAUAACCUACCUAUAAGACUGGGAAACUUCGGGAAACCGGAGCUAAUACCGGAUAAUAUAUUGAACCGCAUGGUUCAAUAGUGAAAGACGGUUUUGCUGUCACUUAUAGAUGGAUCCGCGCCGCAUUAGCUAGUUGGUAAGGUAACGGCUUACCAAGGCAACGAUGCGUAGCCGACCUGAGAGGGUGAUCGGCCACACUGGAACUGAGACACGGUCCAGACUCCUACGGGAGGCAGCAGUAGGGAAUCUUCCGCAAAGGGCGAAAGCUUGACGGAGCAACGCCGCGUGAGUGAUGAAGGUCUUCGGAUCGUAAAACUCUGUUAUUAGGGAAGAACAAAUGUGUAAGUAACUAUGCACGUCUUGACGGUACCUAAUCAGAAAGCCACGGCUAACUACGUG